This 499-nucleotide ribosomal RNA is filed under the name uncultured bacterium. Its description in RNAcentral is "bacterial SSU rRNA". It matches the Rfam family "Bacterial small subunit ribosomal RNA", at positions 26 to 518 of the family's 1533-position model. The record is from RNAcentral.
AGAACGAACGCUGGCGGCGCGUUUAAGCAUGCAAGCGAGCGGCAAGGGCCGUCGGGCCCUAGAGCGGCGGACGGGUGAGUAACACGUGGACAAUCUGCCCCCGGCCCGGGAUAGCCCAGGGAAACCUGGAUUAAUACCGGAUGAGACGGGACCCGCGAUGGCGGGACCCGGGAAAGGCGCUGCGGCGCCGCCGGGGGAUGAGUCUGCGUCCCAUUAGCUAGACGGCGGGGUAACGGCCCACCGUGGCGACGAUGGGUAGCCGGCCUGGGAGGGUGGACGGCCACAUUGGAACUGAGACACGGUCCAGACUCCUACGGGAGGCAGCAGCUAAGAAUCUUCCGCAAUGGGCGAAAGCCUGACGGAGCGACGCCCGCGUGAACGAAGAAGGCCGUGAGGUUGUAAAGUUCUUUUCGGGAGGGGGAACAACCGUGGCAGGGAAUGGCCGCGGGAUGACGUGAAUCCCGGAAUAAGCCCCGGCUAACUACGUGCCAGCAGCGGC